Non-coding RNA from Acanthosepion pharaonis, 113 nucleotides. The record is from the annotation of a GenBank genome assembly. Lineage: Eukaryota; Metazoa; Mollusca; Cephalopoda; Sepiida; Sepiidae.
UUACGGUCACAUCACGUUGAAACAUUGGUUCCCGUACGAUCACCGAAGUUAAGCAGCAUUGAACCUGGUCAGUACCUAAAUGGGUGACCACUUAGGAAUACCAGAUGUUGUAA